Non-coding RNA from Phrynosoma platyrhinos (Desert horned lizard), 72 nucleotides. NCBI's taxonomy places the organism in Eukaryota, Metazoa, Chordata, Lepidosauria, Squamata, Phrynosomatidae. The record is from the annotation of a GenBank genome assembly.
GCCUGUGUAGUGCAGUCGUUUGAACACUGGACUACUACUCUGGAGACCAAAGUUCAAAUCCUGGCACAGCCA